GACGAACGCUGGCGGCGUGCCUAAUACAUGCAAGUCGAGCGCAGGAAGCCGACGGAACCCUUCGGGGGGAAGUCGACGGAAUGAGCGGCGGACGGGUGAGUAACACGUAAAGAACCUGCCCUCAGGUCUGGGAUAACCACGAGAAAUCGGGGCUAAUACCGGAUGGGUCAUCGGACCGCAUGGUCCGAGGAUGAAAGGCGCUCCGGCGUCGCCUGGGGAUGGCUUUGCGGUGCAUUAGCUAGUUGGGGGGGUAAUGGCCCACCAAGGCGACGAUGCAUAGCCGACCUGAGAGGGUGAUCGGCCACACUGGGAGUGAGACACGGCCCAGACUCCUACGGGAGGCAGCAGUAGGGAAUCUUCCACAAUGGACGAAAGUCUGAUGGAGCAACGCCGCGUGAACGAUGAAGGCCUUCGGGUCGUAAAGUUCUGUUGCAAGGGAAGAACAAGUGCCGCAGGCAAUGGCGGCACCUUGACGGUACCUUGCGAGAAAGCCACGGCUAACUACGUGCCAGCCGCCGCGGUAA
RNAcentral lists this ribosomal RNA (524 nucleotides) under uncultured bacterium. RNAcentral's name for it is "partial 16S ribosomal RNA". It matches the Rfam family "Bacterial small subunit ribosomal RNA", at positions 28 to 523 of the family's 1533-position model. The record is from RNAcentral.